UACGUAGGGUGCAAGCGUUAAUCGGAAUUACUGGGCGUAAAGCGUGCGCAGGCGGUUCUGUAAGUCUGUCGUGAAAUCCCCGGGCUCAACCUGGGAAUUGCGAUGGAGACUGCAAGGCUAGAAUCUGGCGGAGGGGGGUAGAAUUCCACGUGUAGCAGUGAAAUGCGUAGAGAUGUGGAGGAACACCGAUGGCGAAGGCAGCCCCCUGGGUCAAGAUUGACGCUCAUGCACGAAAGCGUGGGGAGCAAACAGG
RNAcentral lists this ribosomal RNA (253 nucleotides) under uncultured bacterium. RNAcentral describes it as "partial 16S ribosomal RNA". It matches the Rfam family "Bacterial small subunit ribosomal RNA", at positions 524 to 776 of the family's 1533-position model. The record is from RNAcentral.